AGGAGAGUUUACUCUCUUCGGUGGCGAGUGGCGGACGGGUGAGUAAUGCAUAGGAAUCUACCUUUUAGUCUAGGAUAACUACCCGAAAGGGUGGCUAAUACUGGAUGUGGACUACGGUUUAAAGCAGGGGAUCUUCGGACCUUGCGCUAAGAGAUGAGCCUAUGUGGGAUUAGCUAGUUGGUGAGGUAAUGGCUCACCAAGGCGACGAUCUCUAGCUGGUUUGAGAGGAUGAUCAGCCACACUGGGACUGAGACACGGCCCAGACUCCUACGGGAGGCAGCAGUGGGGAAUAUUGGACAAUGGGCGAAAGCCUGAUCCAGCAAUACCGCGUGUGUGAAGAAGGCCCUAGGGUUGUAAAGCACUUUUGUUAGGGAGAACGGGUUUUGUAGUUAAUACCUACAGGAUCUGAUGUUACCUAAAGAAUAAGCACCGGCUAACUC
This 440-nucleotide ribosomal RNA is filed under the name bacterium 14BK. Its description in RNAcentral is "bacterial SSU rRNA". It matches the Rfam family "Bacterial small subunit ribosomal RNA", at positions 72 to 503 of the family's 1533-position model. The record is from RNAcentral.